UAGCCCACAUGAUAGUUGAGGAACCACUUCAAGCUGGUCAUUUAGAGUCUAGGCUCAGCCCUGGGAACACACCCAUCUUUGUAAUUAAGAAAAACUCUGGUAAAUGAAGAUUAUUACAAGACCUUAGAGGUACUAAUUGUGUUAUAGAGCCCACGGGAGCACUGUAAUCUGGGCUUCCUUCUCCUACAGCUAUUCCUUUAGAUUAUUAUUUGAUAGUAGUAGGUCUAAAAGAUUGUUUUCUCUCUGUACCUUUGUACCCAGACAACUGUAAAAAGUUUUUCUUUAG
RNAcentral lists this small RNA (286 nucleotides) under Marmota monax (woodchuck). Lineage: Eukaryota; Metazoa; Chordata; Mammalia; Rodentia; Sciuridae. The record is from RNAcentral.